UAAUCAUUAUUGCAUUCACAAAGAGCAGACCUAAAGUUUGUUUGGAGUAUAAUCAAAAGUCAUUUGUUCCUGAAGUACUUACUCAUAUACAGAUUAAUAUAUAUAUAUGUGUGUAUAUAUAUAUACACACACACACACACACAUAUAAAUCUCAAUACUCUGUGAAGAAUGUAAGAAAUUGCAACUGUUUUUUUCUUAUGACACUAAACGUGCUCAAAAAAGGAAAAGAAAGGGCGCGCGUUCCCCGCGCGCCGCCUGCCGUCCUCUGUCAGUUCUCUCCUUAGUCCGCAAUCGCCACUUCCGUUAACGGCUCUCGUCUCCGAGCUUGCGACUGGCGGACAGGAGUCCUCGGCAGGAAGAGGCCGGACUCGGAGUCGUCGCCCGAGACUUUCUUCUCAGGAGUUCAAGGUGCUUUGUACGACUUCUCCCGCCCAGGCCGUGGCCCCUGCAGGGCGUCUGUAAGCCAUGGUUGCCAUCAGGAAGAAACUGGUGAUCGUUGGCGAUGGAGCUUGUGGCAAGACGUGCUUGCUCAUAGUCUUCAGCAAGGACCAGUUCCCAGCGGUGUACAUGCUCACCAUGUUUGAGAACUAUGUGGCAGAUAUCCAGGUGGAUGGAAAGCAGGUAGAGUUGGUUUUGUGGGACACAGCUGGGCAGGAAGACUAUGACCGCCUAAGGCCCCUCUCCUACCCAGACACUGAUGUUAUACUGAUGUGCUUCUCCAUCGACAGCCCUGAUAGCUUAGAAAACAUCCUAGAAAAAUGGAUCCCGGAAGUCAAGCAUUUCUGUCCCAAUGUGCCCAUCAUCCUGGUCGGGAACAAGAAGGAUCUUCGCAAUGAUGAGCACACGAGGCAGGAGCUAGCCAAGAUAAAGCAGGAGCCUGUAAAACCCGAGGAAGGCAGAGACAUGGCGAACAGGAUUGGCGCGUUUGGGUACAUGGAGUGUUCAGCGAAGACCAAAGAUGGAGUGAGGGAGGUUUUCGAAAUGGCUACCAGAGCUGCUCUGCAAGCCAGACGUCGGAAGAAAAAAUCUGGGUGCCUUGUCUUGUGAAACCUUGCUGCGAGCACAGCCCUUAUGUGGUUAAUUUUGAAGUGCUGUUUAUUAAUUUUAGUGUAUAAUGACUGGCUUUUUUCAUUUAUCUAUAAUUUACCUAAGAUUACAAAUCAGAAGUUAUCUUGCUACCAGUAUUUAGAAGCCAACCAUGAUUAUUAAUGAUGUCCAACCCAUCUGGCCCACCAGAGUGUCCUCUCGACACUGCUCUAACGCCCCUUUUCUGCACUCCCACCUGACACACCAGGCGCUAUAAGAAAUUCAAGGAAUUUCUUAAUAACUUCUUGCUUUUUUCUAGAAAGAGAAACAGUUGGUAACUUUUGUGAAUUAGGCUGUACCUACUUUAUAACUAACAUGUCCUGCCUGUCAUCUGUCAGCUGCAAGGUACUCUGGUGAGUCACCACUUCAGAGCUGUACUCCUUAACACAUUUCAUUGGCACAGCUCUGGGAUGAGCAUACGGUUUUUUGAAAAUGUGCUCAGCCAGAAAGGCCCAAGUCCAUGCAGCUUUGGCAGAGUUACAGCUGUGUGGUUUCAUGUCAGUUUCCUUAUAGUUAUUGUGUAAUUAGUGACACUUAAUGUAUGUUACCAAAAAUAAAUAUAUCUACCCCCAGACUA
This is a non-coding RNA of Microcebus murinus (gray mouse lemur), 1663 nucleotides long. The record is from RefSeq and is a predicted model, not a curated record. Lineage: Eukaryota; Metazoa; Chordata; Mammalia; Primates; Cheirogaleidae.